This 1313-nucleotide long non-coding RNA is filed under the name Daucus carota (carrot). RNAcentral's name for it is "long non-coding RNA (DCAR_LNC006661)". The record is from RNAcentral. Lineage: Eukaryota; Viridiplantae; Streptophyta; Magnoliopsida; Apiales; Apiaceae.
UACAAAGUUCUAAAACAAAAUGGUCGGUUAAGACACAAAUAAGAAGCUAAGUAGAAACCACUUACGGGAGAUGAACGGAAAAGUUCGCCGGAAAAAUUCGCCGGAGGUUCGGCCGGAUUUUGGCACUAUGAACUUACUUGGGCAGCCCUUACAAAGGCUUGGAAGUGGUUGUGGUUGAGCUCGGUUAGUGUAAGAAAGCUUGUAGAUCAAAACCUUGAAUAUAUGAAUAUAUAUUUGAGAGAGAGAGGGUUUUGGUGGAGAAGUAUAUUUGAGAGAGAAUAUAAACUUGUAUUAAAAAGUAUACGUUUGAUUACUCCAAGUUAAGUUAAUUUGGGGAGUAAUCAAAAGAAGUCUUUCUUUUUAAGCUUGAGAGCUUAGGACUUCACUAGUAUUCCUUUUCUUUUAGAUCAACUCUUUGUGAUCGAAGAAUACUUGAUUUACAAAUCUCCGUUUUGAGAUAUAUUUAAAGAUCUCGGAGAUUGUAUAAUAUCCUCUCUUUUAACUUGAUACACAAGCCUUUGAGGAUAUAAGAAAGCUUUCACGAACAAAGUUCGGAAUAUUCGAUAUCUUUCCCGAGAUAUAUAAAGUUAAGUUAGUGCGGGAUCGAAUAAGCUUUCUUUUGCUUCUUCAAAGUUUAGCAAGGAUAAUAACAACGAUAAAAAUGUUGCUAAACUUUUCUUUUGAAGCUUUCGUGUAUAAAAGCCGUUAGAAUCGUAUCUUUCUCUUCCACACAACGCUAAGGCGAUAGAUGGAAGUACGAUCUUGCUUUUAUAACGAAUUUGACUCUAUGUCAAAUAUCUCCCUUAUUGGAGAUAAGUACUCUUGAACUUUAGUUCAAAUCAAGUGAGCACUUUCACGGAUUUUUGUUUGUUCUUUUUGUUCUCUUUAAAAGAGAAAGAUAUAUCUUUGAUAUCUUGAACAAAUCCGGAUCUUUUGGUGUCUUUUGGGGAACCUUUUAGAAGAACUUGUAAGAUGAAGAGAAGUUGGGUACAAAGUUCUAAAACAAAAUGGUCGGUUAAGACACAAAUAAGAAGCUAAGUAGAAACCACUUACGGGAGAUGAACGGAAAAGUUCGCCGGAAAAAUUCGCCGGAGGUUCGGCCGGAUUUUGGCACUAUGAACUUACUUGGGCAGCCCUUACAAAGGCUUGGAAGUGGUUGUGGUUGAGCUCGGUUAGUGUAAGAAAGCUUGUAGAUCAAAACCUUGAAUAUAUGAAUAUAUAUUUGAGAGAGAGAAGGUUUUGGUGGAGAAGUAUAUUUGAGAGAGAAUAUAAACUUGUAUUUCUUGAUAACUUCUCAAAAUCUCAGCACUUUC